This 480-nucleotide ribosomal RNA is filed under the name uncultured bacterium. RNAcentral's name for it is "bacterial SSU rRNA". It matches the Rfam family "Bacterial small subunit ribosomal RNA", at positions 30 to 506 of the family's 1533-position model. The record is from RNAcentral.
UUGAACGCUGGCGGCAUGCCUUACACAUGCAAGUCGAACGGUAACAGGUCUUCGGAUGCUGACGAGUGGCGAACGGGUGAGUAAUACAUCGGAACGUGCCCGAUCGUGGGGGAUAACGCAGCGAAAGCUGUGCUAAUACCGCAUACGAUCUACGGAUGAAAGCGGGGGAUCGCAAGACCUCGCGCGGACGGAGCGGCCGAUGGCAGAUUAGGUAGUUGGUGGGAUAAAAGCUUACCAAGCCGACGAUCUGUAGCUGGUCUGAGAGGACGACCAGCCACACUGGGACUGAGACACGGCCCAGACUCCUACGGGAGGCAGCAGUGGGGAAUUUUGGACAAUGGGCGAAAGCCUGAUCCAGCCAUGCCGCGUGCAGGAUGAAGGCCUUCGGGUUGUAAACUGCUUUUGUACGGAACGAAAAAGUCUUCUCUAAUACAGGGGGCGAAUGACGGUACCGUAAGAAUAAGCACCGGCUAACUACGU